AACGAACGCUGGCGGCAGGCCUAACACAUGCAAGUCGAGCGGACCUUUCGGGGUCAGCGGCGGACGGGUGAGUAACGCGUGGGAAUAUGCCCUUCUCUACGGAAUAGUCCUGGGAAACUGGGGGUAAUACCGUAUACGCCCUUUGGGGGAAAGAUUUAUCGGGGAAGGAUUAGCCCGCGUUGGAUUAGGUAGUUGGUGGGGUAAUGGCCUACCAAGCCGACGAUCCAUAGCUGGUUUGAUAGGAUGAUCAGCCACACUGGGACUGAGACACGGCCCAGACUCCUACGGGAGGCAGCAGUGGGGAAUCUUAGACAAUGGGGGCAACCCUGAUCUAGCCAUGCCGCGUGAGUGAUGAAGGCCUUAGGGUUGUAAAGCUCUUUCAGCUGGGAAGAUAAUGACGGUACCAGCAGAAGAAGCCCCGGCUAACUCCGUG
This 433-nucleotide ribosomal RNA is filed under the name uncultured bacterium. Its description in RNAcentral is "partial 16S ribosomal RNA". It matches the Rfam family "Bacterial small subunit ribosomal RNA", at positions 29 to 507 of the family's 1533-position model. The record is from RNAcentral.